UAGUAACGGCGAGUGAAGAGGGAAAGCUCAAAUUUUGAAUCUGGUGUCUUUGUCACCUGAGUUGUAAUCUAGAGAAGUGUUUUUGCCUCGGACCACGCAUAAAUUCCCUGGAAUGGGGUGUCAAAGAGGGUGAGAAUCCCGUUGUGGUGUGGACUCCCUUGGCUUUGUGAUACACUCUCAACGAGUCGAGUUGUUUGGGAAGCAGCUCAAAAUGGGUGGUAAAUUCCAUCUAAAGCUAAAUAUUGGCGAGAGACCGAUAGGAACAAGUACCGUGAGGGAAAGAUGAAAAGCACUUUGGAAAGAGAGUGAAACAGUACGUAAAUUGUUGAAAGGGAAACGCUUGAAGU
Molecule: ribosomal RNA, 347 nt
Filed under: uncultured Sebacinales
Lineage: Eukaryota; Fungi; Basidiomycota; Agaricomycetes; Sebacinales
Description: eukaryotic LSU rRNA
Rfam family: Eukaryotic large subunit ribosomal RNA
Source: RNAcentral